Ostrinia nubilalis (European corn borer) is the source of this 361-nucleotide long non-coding RNA. RefSeq lists it as uncharacterized. The transcript has 4 exons. The record is from RefSeq and is a predicted model, not a curated record. Lineage: Eukaryota; Metazoa; Arthropoda; Insecta; Lepidoptera; Crambidae.
AUUAUAGAGAGAGAGAGCCAUCUUUACACUCGUGCGCGGUGGAUAUUGACGAGGACUGCACAACGGCGGUGGUGACCAGUUCAUCCAUCAGCAGCGUGCCAAGAACACGGGUGUACCGCCUCGCGCACUCGCCGCCGAGACUGCACGCGCAAGGCACGCUGUUGGAGCGCGCAGAAUCGCCAGAGACGCGGAGUUUCAACGGCUCCUGGGACAGCCGGUCCGGCGACGGAGACGAUACCGAUUGCAGCGACACCGGCAUGCUUAUACGAGAAAACUCGCUAUCCGUCCACGACAUACCGCCCGCGCAGAUAUUCACGACGCGGCUGUCGUGCGGCGCGCCCGCCUACUGCUCGCUGUGGCG